AUUACUUUUUCUCCAAAAUCACUUCUCCUUCUCAGACGAAAAAUCUCCAUCAAAACCACUUUUUCUUAAAAUCACUUUUCCUAAAAUCAACUUUUGCUUCAUCGAACCGUAAUUUCUCCAAUCAAAAUCGCUACUUCUCCGUCAUUGAAACCGAUGUUUCUCCUUGGUCAAUCAAAAUCAAUGCUUCUUUAUCAUCUAUCGAAAUCCAUGCUUCUUAUCAUCGAUUGAAAUUGCAACUUCUCCUUCAUUGAUAGAAGCUUCUACUUCUCCUUCUUCGUUGGAAAUCACUGUUUUAACUUUCUCUUUGAAAAUCGCUGCUUCAACUUUCUAAUAGUUACUUUGCCAUUCGAAAUCGCUCACGCAUUUCUCAAAACCUAAUAGUUGAGUGCUGGAAUCACUUAUGAUGUUGCAGCAAGUGCUUUGGUUGGUGCAUCAAAUGUUUUUGGCACUGUUAUUGCUUCCUUCUUGAUGGACAGAAAAAGAAGGAGAAGUCUCCAUAUAUUGUGUGAAAUUUGUAGACUCUUUUGGAGAAUAUUUUUUAUGUUUCUUUUGUAAGCAAUGAGAGCUUAAAGAAAGUCACAAUCUCAUAUGGAAAAUUCUUAGGUGGACACAUACCUAAGAAAUUGUUUUACACACAACCAAUCACAGAAUUUUAAUUAAUUAAAAAAUAAAUACUGAUUUUUCUCUCUCCUUCAUACUCUCAACCACCCCAUGAAUCCCAUUAAAAACAAAAUUAAAAUAAAUUUAAAAAGAACUCUUUCUUAUUGGUUGUUCCUAAGAAUGUGGAUUUAGGGCCGUGUCCAUGCAAGAAUUGCUCAUCUCAUAUAGUGGGCACAUUAGUUGGAGGCUUUAUUCUGGAUUAUAUGGUUGUAAUUUGUAAACGGCCUUUCUAAUUAGACAAACAUUUAAAAACUUAACAAUUCUUCAUACUACACAUAGUUUACCCUCUAAUUGCAGUCCCUUUGAAGCUACGGACUAACAAUAGUAGACCUUAGCUUAAAAUACAUAUACUAGAAAUCAUUAAAACAUUAGAUUAUUUAGUGUUCUUAUAUUGACCAAUUUAUGUAUGUGUGUAUAUGGCCUUUGAUAUGAAUCUCUCCUCCAUGUUUUGCCUCAUAGUAAGCCAAUUAUGGAGGUCUAAAAACCAUAAUUCGAUGUUGAUUUAUAGAUUUGUUACUGUCAUUAAGAGAGAAGCUGCUAGAAGAACUUCACUGGAUGAUACGUGUAAGAAUGGAUCUCAGUUGACCACGAAUAUUCCUAGGAAGGUGUGUCAUAUGGAUUUCUAAAUGAUUGAUUUUGUUCCAAAAUUAACUUUGUGACCAGUGUUUGAUCUUUUCACAUUUUUCAGGAUAGUUCACAUUUGGUUUUUUAUGUGCAAUCCAAUUUGGACAGUUCUUAAGUCUGAAUUUGAUGCAGGCAAGAGGUUCAGUUUGAGAGUAUAUUUUUAAAUCUUUAGCUUGAGAUUUGCUAUGAUAUUUUUGUGGCGAAGUUGAGGUUGUUUAGUUAGAAUAUCUAAACUGCAUACCCAAUUUUGCUAGAGUUUGGUUGUGAUUUAGCUAGGUAUAUUUAAAUAUUAGUUGGUACUUUGCUAGGAAAUUUUGGUAUAGAUAAUUAGCCACCCAAUCCAUGUUACGGCUUAUAUUGUAGUUAAUCCCAAACAAAUCUCCAACUAACUUUGUUUGAUAGAGAUUAGCUACAAAUUUGUUUCUGUUUUUGUCGUAGCUAAACACAAAUUAUCUUGUAGUACCCUCCAUUUAUAAUUAUCAUUUUUAUUCUUCUAUAAAAAAUCCAUUUCUUAGUAUCUAAAAUACGUGGAUCUGUGUGCUUGUAGGUACAAUUAUUUGCAGGAGAUGGAUAUUCAUGAUUGUUUUUAUGAUGACAACACUAUAUCCUAAACGACAUAAUGUGAAGUCUUCAUCUGUCAAGAAAAGUAAUGAUCAAAUAUGUUCUAUUAAGAUCAAGAUUUGUUUGGGAGAUCUAUAUAUUAAGUCAGAUUAAAUAAAGACAACACUUAAUGUCAAUCUGAGUUUGGUGGAGUCUAUGGUGAUAUCUAGUCAAGCAAUCUCUAAUGAUUGUGUAUAUCAAAGAAGCUUUAUCAAGCCUCAUCAUCCAAAAAACAAAUUGUCACAAAUGAAGUUUUAAGUCUAUGAUGAAUCAAGUAAGGAAUAUUAAAGCUUCAAAUAUUAUGAAAGAGAUUAAGUGUGAAAACUCAACUAAA
Molecule: long non-coding RNA, 2218 nt
Organism: Vicia villosa (hairy vetch)
Lineage: Eukaryota; Viridiplantae; Streptophyta; Magnoliopsida; Fabales; Fabaceae
Exons: 3
Source: RefSeq, a predicted model, not a curated record